Long non-coding RNA from Alligator sinensis (Chinese alligator), 1783 nucleotides. RefSeq lists it as uncharacterized. The transcript has 3 exons. NCBI's taxonomy places the organism in Eukaryota, Metazoa, Chordata, Crocodylia, Alligatoridae. The record is from RefSeq and is a predicted model, not a curated record.
GCAUCACCCUCUGUUGUGUUUCCCAGCAAGCCCUAGCAUUCCUUCAAACAAGUAUUCACUUUAGCAGAAAGUCCAAGAAAAGGCUUGCUCCCUUGAGGAUCAAGAAGAAAGAAACAGCUAAGAAAGGACUGACAGCAGCACGAAGAAUACAGAAUCCAGAUAAAGAGGGAAAUGAGGAGGUGGAGGUGAGCAGGAGACAGCUAAGAAAACUGCACAGGCGGUGGGGAAUUUUUUUUUUUCCUGCCUAGACACACAUGGACAAGGAGGCAGCAACUGGGCCAUCUGCAUCUUAUCUGAAACAUAAAUAAAGGACAGAGCUGAGACAAAAAGGAAAUCCACCCGGGGGCUGCUUGUUUUGGCUCUCACAUCAGUGAUGCGCAGGUUGAAUGCCUGCUGUGUGAGGGGAAGAGAGCUGCUGAAGGCUCACCAUCUCAGAGACUUGUAGACAGAGGGACAAAAAUCGUUAUGCCUAUGUAACGGAGAUUCUUAAGCCAAAGUCCAUUUAUCCCAAAAUGGCUACAGAUGAUUUAUUGGGCAAGAAACUAGAGACAAAAAGCAGUGUAAGCAAGCCAGUUACCCCCACUGCAAACAGGAGAAAUGUUAGAUCCUGAACAGAAAUCGGCUAGCAGCCUGUUGAGGUAAUCUCUGCAUCAUCUGCUUCAAACUAAUACAUUGUAAUCCCCAGUAUUACAGGGGAAGAUAAGACUUAAAAAAAAAAAAAAGAAGAAGACAGAGAAGAUGCUGGAUCUCUGUUUCUUAUGGCAUUCACAGUGCUACAGUCUGCGUGUGUGUUUUGAUAGGAAUAAUGCAUAUCAGUCUGGUCACAAGCAAAAAACCAAAAAAAUCUAGAGCAGUGAAGAAGGAUCCAGAUAGCAGAAUGACUGGGUCAGCUGGAGACAGAGCUACGUUCCAGGACACGGUGUGGGGUGUGAUUGGAAAGGCAUACAGAGUCACUGGCAGGAGAUAAUGAUAGAUGCCCAAUAAGAACCUGGAGAAUCUCCAAAUAAGUCAAGGAGUUCAGGUCAAGUGCCUUGACAUACCAACUGCUGAAACUUCCUUAGCCUGCCGAAGGGUUUUUGAACCCGAAAGCUUGCUUAAUAACUAUUCUCCAACUAUUUGGCUUGGUCUAAUAAAAGAUAUCAAAUUCACCCAAGGAACCUUGUCUGCCCUUGACCCCCAUCCUAAACAUGAACGCCACAUGCCCCUGGAGGCUGGGAGAGCACAGCGAGCUACUGCAGGCAACGGUGCUGCUGUCAGCAGUGCGGGGUGGCAAGCGCCGACCAGCGGUCAGCUGCCAGCAGUGUCAGUAGCGGCCGGUGGUGAUCACAGACUGCCCACAGACGGCACCACAGGUGUCGGCAGCAAGGGGCGGAGGAGUUGGCGAGCAGCGACCACCUGCAGGCGGCGCUGGCAGCAUUGGUGGCACCAUUUCGCAGGGGGUGCACCGCCACGCUUGGGGUGCACAUGCACCCGUGUGUACCCCCUAUGCAUCACCACUGAUCCUAAAUGUCUCUAUUUGUAGGUAGUACUAACUGGUUGUCUUAGUUUGUGAUGGUCAUGUUUAUUAGCUAUUAUAUUUUUGGAGAUUUGGAGCAUUUCAUGUAAAGAAAGGAGAGGAAGAAAGGUAAAGUAAAGGAUCGUAAAAACAAUAAAAUAACUGUCAUGUCACAUAGAUGUAAGCCUUUUGCAAUCCUGAACCACAUCUAGUGGCCAUGUCACACACAGUCCCUUUACGAGCACUCCUGUGUGUCACACUUAUUGGCUUGUUUGGAAUCAAUGCCCU